RNA transcript from Neofelis nebulosa (Clouded leopard), 4788 nucleotides. It is a transcript of the gene named far upstream element binding protein 1, with no coding region annotated. The record is from RefSeq and is a predicted model, not a curated record. NCBI's taxonomy places the organism in Eukaryota, Metazoa, Chordata, Mammalia, Carnivora, Felidae. The transcript has 23 exons.
GGCACGAUGGUCGCACAAGAAUGUGAUACAGCCUCGACGGCCGCCAUUUUCUUUCUUUCUUAGCAGUUGGCUGAGGGAACAUCUCUGCGAAGAAGCGGCAGCGGCCUCUGUAGCCUAGACAUGGCAGACUACUCAACAGUGCCUCCACCUUCCUCUGGCUCAGCUGGUGGUGGAGGCGGCGGCGGUGGUGGUGGAGGAGUUAACGAUGCUUUCAAAGAUGCGCUGCAGAGAGCACGGCAGAUUGCAGCAAAAAUUGGAGGUGAUGCUGGUACAUCACUGAAUUCAAAUGACUAUGGUUAUGGGGGACAAAAAAGACCUUUGGAAGACGGAGAUGGCUCUUGGACAAGUCCGAGCAGUACAACACACUGGGAGGGAAUGCCCUCUCCUUUUAAAGAUCAACCAGAUGCUAAGAAAGUUGCUCCUCAAAAUGACUCUUUUGGAACACAGUUACCACCGAUGCAUCAGCAGCAAAGCAGGUCUGUAAUGACAGAAGAAUACAAAGUUCCAGAUGGAAUGGUUGGAUUUAUAAUUGGCAGAGGAGGUGAACAGAUCUCACGCAUACAACAAGAAUCUGGAUGCAAAAUACAGAUAGCUCCUGACAGUGGUGGCCUUCCAGAAAGGUCUUGUAUGUUAACUGGAACACCUGAAUCUGUCCAAUCGGCAAAACGGUUACUGGACCAGAUUGUAGAAAAGGGAAGACCAGCCCCUGGCUUCCACCAUGGUGAUGGACCAGGAAAUGCAGUUCAAGAAAUCAUGAUUCCAGCUAGCAAAGCAGGAUUAGUUAUUGGAAAGGGGGGAGAAACUAUUAAACAACUUCAGGAGCGGGCUGGAGUUAAAAUGGUUAUGAUUCAAGAUGGACCUCAGAACACUGGUGCUGACAAACCUCUUAGGAUUACAGGAGACCCAUACAAAGUUCAACAAGCCAAGGAAAUGGUGUUAGAGUUAAUUCGUGAUCAAGGUGGUUUCAGAGAAGUUCGAAAUGAGUAUGGGUCAAGAAUAGGUGGAAAUGAAGGGAUAGAUGUCCCCAUUCCAAGAUUUGCUGUUGGCAUUGUAAUAGGAAGAAAUGGAGAGAUGAUUAAAAAAAUACAAAAUGAUGCUGGUGUUCGAAUUCAGUUUAAGCCAGAUGAUGGAACAACACCUGAUAGAAUAGCACAAAUAACAGGACCUCCAGACCGAUGUCAACACGCUGCAGAAAUUAUUACAGACCUCCUUCGAAGUGUUCAGGCUGGUAAUCCUGGUGGACCUGGACCUGGUGGCCGAGGAAGAGGUAGAGGUCAAGGCAACUGGAACAUGGGACCACCUGGUGGACUACAGGAAUUUAAUUUCAUUGUACCAACAGGGAAAACUGGAUUAAUAAUAGGAAAAGGAGGUGAAACCAUAAAAAGCAUAAGCCAACAGUCUGGUGCAAGAAUAGAACUUCAGAGAAAUCCUCCACCUAAUGCAGAUCCUAAUAUGAAAUUAUUUACAAUCCGUGGCACUCCACAGCAAAUAGACUAUGCACGGCAACUUAUAGAAGAAAAGAUUGGUGGCCCAGUAAAUCCUUUAGGGCCACCUGUACCCCAUGGGCCCCAUGGUGUCCCAGGCCCCCAUGGGCCUCCUGGGCCUCCAGGGCCUGGAACUCCAAUGGGACCAUACAACCCUGCACCUUACAAUCCAGGACCACCUGGCCCUGCUCCUCAUGGACCUCCAGCUCCUUAUGCCCCCCAGGGGUGGGGAAAUGCAUAUCCACACUGGCAGCAGCAGGCCCCUCCUGAUCCAGCUAAGGCAGGAACAGAUCCAAAUUCAGCAGCUUGGGCUGCCUACUAUGCUCACUAUUAUCAACAGCAAGCACAGCCACCACCUGCAGCUCCUGCCGGUGCACCAACUACAACCCAAACCAAUGGACAAGGUAACUAUGGAGAUCAGCAGAAUCCAGCUCCAGCUGGACAGGUUGAUUAUACUAAGGCCUGGGAAGAGUAUUACAAGAAAAUGGGUCAACAAGGGCAGACACAAGAUUAUUCAAAAGCUUGGGAGGAAUAUUACAAGAAGCAAGGUCAAGCGGUUCCUGCUCCUACUGGUGCUCCACCAGGUGGUCAGCCAGAUUAUAGUGCAGCCUGGGCUGAGUACUAUAGACAACAAGCAGCCUACUAUGCCCAGACAAGUCCCCAGGGAAUGCCACAGCAUCCUCCAGCACCUCAGUGCAGGUUUGAUCCAGCCAGUAUAGAACUAGCUCUGUAGGGGUGAGGAGGACUGUGCUGUGUAUCAUCCUUGAUUGUGUUCCUUCAAGGAGCAUUGCACUUGCCUUCCCAGACCUUCCACCUUAGGUUCUGCUGCAAAAAGCAACAGGUAAGCACAACCUAAGGACAUAUAUAAAUAAAUAUUUCAGUACAUUAAUGUUGUCCCUGUGAGGUUUUUGUGGUUGUGUAUUCAAAAGCAAUCUGCUACUGCUUCCCCAAAAUGUAUUUUGUUAUUUAUGCUACCAUUUCAGUGGAAAGUCUGUAAGUUGUUCAAACAACUGUUUACAUUUCUGGGUAAUGUUUUUUAUUUUAAUUUUUUUAUUAAAACAAGAAAAAUGAUGAGUAGAUUGCUGCUAUAAUUGAACUACAUCCAAACUUUUUGUAAUCUUUUCCCAACUACAGAAGAAUUGUUAAGAAAGGGCAGUUAACAUAGUUUUUGAGAUUUAGGAAAUCACUUGGUUAGAAACUUCAACAGCCUUCACAAGCUUUUUAUGAUUGACAGGUUGACAGGACAUUUUCUUUCUUUGCCCUCCAAAGCUAUAUGGAGUUUAUUUUUUUCUUAUUCUUGAAGUAUAACAAUUCAGUAAGGACAUUAUGGGUCAGAAUUUUAUUACAAAGUUUUUUUUUUUAAGACAAUUCAGUUUUCGUAACAUACACUGAAAAAGGAAAAUAUAAGGAAUACUGGCAGUAUGUUUUGAUAAGGCAUGUGCAUCAGUGAAAUGUUAACUGUAUAGCAAAUAACCUUUCAUAAUCUGUAUAGCAAACAAUAUUUUUCUGAUUUAUAAUACUUUAAUAAUUGACGUUGCAUUUUACUUUUUUUGCCAGUUUAAAAUGUUUGUGUUCUUAUAGAUGAUUUUAACUGGUACAUAUUUUGAGUUAAGAUGAAUGUAUUAAAGCAGCAUCCUAUCAGUUUUGUUUAUUCAGUUUCUAAAAUGUGCUGAUCCUUUUAAAACUCCUGCUUAUCUCUACAACAAAGAAAAAUAUUCAAAAAUACUGCCUUCAUUUUCACACACAGUGCUGAAGAUGCUGCAAGCACCAAAUCAUAGCUCAUAAAAUCAGGUCCUGAGAUAGUUACCCAUAAAGAGGAAUCCUUUGAGUGUAUGCCAUUGGUGAGCCGAUGAGCAUGGACCAUAGAAGGGCUCAAUGUAGAAGGUAAAAUUGGCAAAUCAUAAUUGAGAAAUAUGAAAUGUAUUCCCAUACAUUGGUAUAGGGUGUAAUGUACCUGCUUUUGAUCACUUUUCAUUUUAAAGUGCUAUUUGCUUGAUCUUAAAUGUUCCAUGAACUGUUAAAUUUUGUAAGUUGUGUAGUUACUGCACCACAUUUAUGUGUGUGUGUGUAUUGUUUUAAUAGUCAAUGAUAGGUAUGUUAAGACAUAAUAUAAAGGAGAUCUUUGAACCUUAAGGAGCCUUUCAACUUUUGGUUAGCUGUAGUUUGCAUUUUUAUAAAAUAAUAGAUGAAUGCUUAUAGAUACUGGGGCAUUGUUUCUAUCUCAAGAGUUUUUUUUAACUCAUUACCAUAAGCCUUCACUGAUAACUGCAUUUUUAAAAUGGCGCUAAUCUUAACCUUGAAAUAAAUGGAAAGCAGAAAAGGUGAGCCAGUUGACUUGAAUGCAAUGGAUGUUAGGAGUGGUAGAAACAAUGUUUAGAUUGAAAUUGAACUGAUUUAUUUUAUUUAGCACUUAAAAACUUGACAAUGUGUUUAAGAUAUUUUAGUGUGGUGAUACUUAGAAUUCUAAUGGGUUUGAUGUUUCUUUUAGAAAUGAAAAGUAUACUUUUAUUUUUAAUUAACAAAAAUGGUUUUAAUACUAAAACUAGUGAUUUAAUACUAGUUGUUUAUAAACAUUGUAAAAUAUUUCCUUAGCCAAAUACCUUGGUAGUUAAUUCAAAAGGGUGGGUUUGGGUAGGAGUAGCAGAGUAAACUUAAGCGGGAAAUAGGAAUAUAUGCAGAAGUGAUUACGUUUGAGUGCUCUGCCAGGAGAACCAGUUCUACCUGUGAACAUCUGUUGUCUAGAAUAAGGAUGUAGAAAUUAUCAAUGAGGAUGUCUUUUUAUUUUCUGAAAAUUCUGCCUCAUUUUAAAAUGUAUUUUAACAGUACCUAAAGAUAAUUUUGACUCUGAAAAUAACCUUUAUUUUUUGUUUAGUCACUUGAGUUAUCUUGCCACAGUAUAAACUUCUGAGGGAUUUAAAUUGGUGCUUUUAAAAAAGAAGCAAAUAAAUCCCAAGGUUUUAUUUUCUUCAGUGAUAGCCCUAUAGAAACUCAUAAAUGUAUUUGCGCAUAUAUAUAUAUAUAUUUUUUCUUAUGCAUGCUCGAUGCAUUUUCGUCCUGAGAAAAGUGUUCUCUACAGAAACUACCCGUGUGUAAAAAGAAGAUUGGCUUAAAAUGGCUACUGUGAUGGGAACAGUGUCUUAGGGAGAUGCAGCUUGGACUUGAGGUAAAUUGAAUACUUUACAAACUGUGGUUUAGAGUUUGCUUUAAUGACAUUGUAUGUAAAAGGGCACGAUUGCUGUAAUUUUGUAUUGAUUAUGGUUUCCUCAAUAAAAAAAUAAUAAAUGUACAUUGAUGAAUAUUAUAA